RNAcentral lists this ribosomal RNA (301 nucleotides) under uncultured bacterium. RNAcentral describes it as "partial 16S ribosomal RNA". It matches the Rfam family "Bacterial small subunit ribosomal RNA", at positions 509 to 809 of the family's 1533-position model. The record is from RNAcentral.
CAGUCGCCGCGGUAAUACGGAGGGUGCAAGCGUUAAUCGGAAUUACUGGGCGUAAAGCGCACGCAGGCGGUCUGACAAGUCAGAUGUGAAAUCCCCGGGCUUAACCUGGGAACUGCAUUUGAAACUGUCAGGCUGGAGUCUUGUAGAGGGGGGUGGAAUUCCAGGUGUAGCGGUGAAAUGCGUAGAGAUCUGGAGGAAUACCGGUGGCGAAGGCGGCCCCCUGGACAAAGACUGACGCUCAGGUGCGAAAGCGUGGGGAGCAAACAGGAUUAGAUACCUGAGUAGUCCCUGUCUCUUAUAU